AUUUUGGGUUAAUUUUUAUCAAACUACCAAAAAGGAACCUUUCUGAUGUGGAAGAUAGCACUUCACAAAAAAAAAAACUUGAAUUAUAGAUUCUUCGCUGUAACAAUUCACGGAAUAGCCCCCAGUUCGUUUUAAUAUUUGUAUACCUAAGCCAAUUAGAUAAUAAGGAAGGACAACCAAAAGAUAAUUUUGGCUGAAAUUGUUUACACUAAAGGAGCCAAUCUUUCCUAUAUCGUGACAAAGAAACAAAAAAUAUUGAAUUAGACUAUGCACAUAUGGAUGGAACAAGAGAAAGCUCCAAGGAAGACACCAAACCCAGCCUAUGGUCGUUUGUUCACAUAAACGUAACAAAAUUAAAAAGUGGAAGUUGGAAAUAUGAGUGUCAACGAGAGGUAACUGACAAAAAGAUACUCUUUCAAUUAAAUGGAAUCAUGCAUGGUGAUCUAAGAGGCGCUACCAACAGCUUUCGGAAGGAAGAUAGGAACACAAGGCCGUUUCAAAUACGGUACCUGCUUGAAUAAUAUGGGCAAGCUAAAAGAAAGAAACUCCUGAUGUUCUGAAGAUGCAUCUGCAAUAUACACACGAGAAUGCAAAUACAGAUUUGAAGAUGCAUCUGCGAUAUACACACGAGAGCGCAAAUGUUUGCACCUUUUAACUUUUAGACUAACUUACAAGAUGUAUAUGACUUACUACAUAACAUUUGGUGUUAAUUAAUAAAGUUGAUCACUUAUACUAGAUUCUGUUGUUGAA
Molecule: non-coding RNA, 750 nt
Organism: Nicotiana tabacum (common tobacco)
Lineage: Eukaryota; Viridiplantae; Streptophyta; Magnoliopsida; Solanales; Solanaceae
Source: RefSeq, a predicted model, not a curated record